AUACGGAGGGUGCAAGCGUUGUCCGGAUUUAUUGGGUUUAAAGGGUGCGUAGGCGGGUUAUUAAGUCAGUGGUGAAAUACUUCGGCUCAACCGGAGGGGUGCCAUUGAAACUGAUGAUCUUGAGUACAGACGAGGUAGGCGGAAUUUAUGGUGUAGCGGUGAAAUGCAUAGAUACCAUAAAGAACACCAAUAGCGAAGGCAGCUUACUAGACUGUAACUGACGCUGAGGCACGAAAGCGUGGGUAGCGAACAGGAUUAGAAACCCCGGUAGUCC
RNAcentral lists this ribosomal RNA (274 nucleotides) under uncultured bacterium. RNAcentral describes it as "partial 16S ribosomal RNA". It matches the Rfam family "Bacterial small subunit ribosomal RNA", at positions 523 to 796 of the family's 1533-position model. The record is from RNAcentral.